RNAcentral lists this ribosomal RNA (239 nucleotides) under uncultured bacterium. Its description in RNAcentral is "partial 16S ribosomal RNA". It matches the Rfam family "Bacterial small subunit ribosomal RNA", at positions 95 to 334 of the family's 1533-position model. The record is from RNAcentral.
UUGGCGGACGGGUGAGUAACGCGUGGGUAACCUGCCUUGUACUGGGGGACAACAGUUGGAAACGACUGCUAAUACCGCAUAAGCGCACAGCUUCGCAUGAAGCAGUGUGAAAAACUCCGGUGGUACAAGAUGGACCCGCGUCUGAUUAGCUGGUUGGUGAGGUAACGGCCCACCAAGGCAACGAUUAGUAGCCGGCCUGAGAGGGUGAACGGCCACAUUGGGACUGAGACACGGCCCAA